RNAcentral lists this long non-coding RNA (228 nucleotides) under Pelobates cultripes (western spadefoot toad). Lineage: Eukaryota; Metazoa; Chordata; Amphibia; Anura; Pelobatidae. The record is from RNAcentral.
GGAUGAAGUGUGUGAGUCUGUAAGGGGUGCAUUGAGUGUGUGUAAGGAAUGCAUUGUGUGUUUCUGUGUGUGCAAGGGAUGCAUUGUGUGUAAGGGUUGCAUUGCGUGUGUGUGUGUAAUGCAUCGUGUGUGUAAUGCAUUGUGUGUUUUUCUGUGUGCAAGGGGUUCAUUGUCUUUGUGUGUAAGGGGUGCAUUGUGUGUGAUUGUGUGUGUGUGUGUGUGUGUGUG